CCUACGGGGGGCAGCAGUGGGGAAUAUUGGACAAUGGGCGAAAGCCUGAUCCAGCCAUGCCGCGUGUGUGAAGAAGGCCUUCGGGUUGUAAAGCACUUUCAGUGGGGUAGAAAGCCUUGGGGCUAAUACCCUCGAGGAAGGACAUCACCCACAGAAGAAGCACCGGCUAACUCCGUGCCAGCAGCCGCGGUAAUACGGAGGGUGCGAGCGUUAAUCGGAAUUACUGGGCGUAAAGCGCGCGUAGGCGGUCUGAUAAGCCGGUUGUGAAAGCCCCGGGCUCAACCUGGGAACGGCAUCCGGAACUGUCAGGCUAGAGUGCAGGAGAGGAAGGUAGAAUUCCCGGUGUAGCAGUGAAAUGCGUAGAGAUCGGGAGGAAUACCAGUGGCGAAGGCGGCCUUCUGGACUGACACUGACGCUGAGGUGCGAAAGCGUGGGUAGCAAACAGGAUUAGAUACCCUUGUAGUC
Molecule: ribosomal RNA, 465 nt
Filed under: Vreelandella stevensii
Lineage: Bacteria; Pseudomonadati; Pseudomonadota; Gammaproteobacteria; Oceanospirillales; Halomonadaceae
Description: partial 16S ribosomal RNA
Rfam family: Bacterial small subunit ribosomal RNA
Source: RNAcentral